CAAUGCGUGUACGCGUUAUGCGUUCAACGGAAUUUAUCAUCGGAGACACAUAAUUUUAAUACCAGAAUAUCAGAAUAAUAUAUCAUGGUCGAUACUCGAAGAUUUCAAGAGCAGAUACGAAACGUAUGCGCACGAUCCACGUACAGCUUAUACAGGUAUAUUCAAUGCACGUGUACAUGUCGGGGCAGCGCAACAACACGCGGAAUUCUGCGUUUAAUGGAGUGUUGAUCGUUGUGUCGCAGAACAAAUAUUUCGAGGGGGUGACCGGAGAUCGCUGGACAUCUGGCAGUGUUGGCGAUUGUCAUUGGUGCGGGGCUCCUGGUGCGAUCCUGCAGGACGUGUAACACCGCACGGUUCAUCAUGGCUAUACUGAUUUUUCUGUAUCAUAAUGCAGAUACCGUUCGCUAACUGCAACAACGAGCACGGGUCGUCCGGGUCGGAGGUGUAUGGCGACUAGGCACGCCCCUCUUCUUUUGAAGUCGUCACUGUAUUUAGAAAGAGCAGUAUAAUUAUUUACUUAUAACGUAUUACCAAUGCAAUAUAGAGAAUAAUAAAUUAUACGCGAGGUAUAAUUUAUAAUAUGUUAUGUAAAUGUAUUGAUAUGUAAUGUUCGUAAAGCCUAAAUAUCAAGAAAUGUAGAUUGAAGGUGAAAACGACAAGUCGUUUGAACCUAUUCACACGAUACGCGAAUCCAGCAAUAUCGGAGGGUAACAUGAGAAUAUAAGGUAUCACGAUGUACGUCAUUGCCAGAUACCGCAUGAACACGGGUAGAACGCCUACCAUUUUUUAGAAGAUUAUCAGCACUGGUCAGCGGCUUAACAAGCUUACAACAGUGUGCUUUAUGAUUUAAAACUUAUAACAGUAAAUUGUUUUACUUUAUUCAAUAAAGAGUCAAAAUGUUUAAUUGUUUUAUACCUACGUUUUUCAACAACAUCUCAGGACUAACGACUACGUGCUACGUCGUUUAAAUAAUAAUCGUAACAGCGUUCAACGUGUUUCACUAAACCACUGACAGUACGACCCAGAAAUCCCGGACCACCCAGGAAUAUCAAAAUAUAAAAUCAUUAUUAAUAAG
Sipha flava (yellow sugarcane aphid) is the source of this 1075-nucleotide long non-coding RNA. RefSeq lists it as uncharacterized. The transcript has 3 exons. Lineage: Eukaryota; Metazoa; Arthropoda; Insecta; Hemiptera; Aphididae. The record is from RefSeq and is a predicted model, not a curated record.